RNAcentral lists this transfer RNA (74 nucleotides) under Leptolyngbya sp. RNAcentral describes it as "tRNA-Pro". It matches the Rfam family "tRNA". From Rfam's summary of the family: Transfer RNA (tRNA) molecules are approximately 80 nucleotides in length. Their secondary structure includes four short double-helical elements and three loops (D, anti-codon, and T loops). Lineage: Bacteria; Bacillati; Cyanobacteriota; Cyanophyceae; Leptolyngbyales; Leptolyngbyaceae. RNAcentral also lists the same sequence under 6 other names. The record is from RNAcentral.
CAGGGCGUAGCUCAGCUUGGUAGAGCGCGUGGUUUGGGUCCACGAGGUCGCUGGUUCGAAUCCAGUCGCCCUGA